UCUAAGGGCGUUGAAGCAUGAUCGUAAGGACAUGUGGAGCGCUUAGAAGUGAGAAUGCCGGUGUGAGUAGCGAAAGACGGGGGAGAAUCCCGUCCACCGAUUGACUAAGGUUUCCAGAGGAAGGCUCGUCCGCUCUGGGUUAGUCGGGUCCUAAGCUGAGGCCGACAGGCGUAGGCGAUGGAUAACAGGUUGAUAUUCCUGUACCACCUAUAAUCGUUUUAAUCGAUGGGGGGACGCAGUAGGAUAGGCGAAGCGUGCGAUUGGAUUGCACGUCUAAGCAGUAAGGCUGAGUAUUAGGCAAAUCCGGUACUCGUUAAGGCUGAGCUGUGAUGGGGAGAAGACAUUGAGUCUUCGAGUCGUUGAUUUCACACUGCCGAGAAAAGCCUCUAGAUAGAAAAUAGGUGCCCGUACCGCAAACCGACACAGGUAGUCAAGAUGAGAAUUCUAAGGUGAGCGAGCGAACUCUCGUUAAGGAACUCGGCAAAAUGACCCCGUAACUUCGGGAGAAGGGGUGCUCUUUAGGGUUAACGCCCAGAAGA
RNAcentral lists this ribosomal RNA (539 nucleotides) under Staphylococcus aureus. Its description in RNAcentral is "partial 23S ribosomal RNA". It matches the Rfam family "Bacterial large subunit ribosomal RNA", at positions 1240 to 1775 of the family's 2925-position model. The record is from RNAcentral. Lineage: Bacteria; Bacillati; Bacillota; Bacilli; Caryophanales; Staphylococcaceae.